Molecule: ribosomal RNA, 321 nt
Filed under: uncultured eukaryote
Lineage: Eukaryota
Description: partial 18S ribosomal RNA
Rfam family: Eukaryotic small subunit ribosomal RNA
Source: RNAcentral
CCCUUAGAUGUCCUGGGCCGCACGCGCGCUACACUGACAUGUUCAACAAGCCUCCUAGUUCGACAGGAUUUGGGAAAUCUUUGAACGCAUAUCGUGAUAGGGAUAGAUCAUUGCAAUUAUUGAUCUUGAACGAGGAAUUCCUAGUAAACGCGAGUCAUCAGCUCGCAUUGAUUACGUCCCUGCCCUUUGUACACACCGCCCGUCGCACCUACCGAUUGAAUGUUUCGGUGAAGAUUCCGGAUAGGACUUUUUUGAUUUAUUUCAAUUCUGUCUUAAAAGCUAUCUAAACCUCAACAUUUAGAGGAAGGUGAAGUCGUAACA